Molecule: long non-coding RNA, 8482 nt
Organism: Chiroxiphia lanceolata (lance-tailed manakin)
Lineage: Eukaryota; Metazoa; Chordata; Aves; Passeriformes; Pipridae
Exons: 7
Source: RefSeq, a predicted model, not a curated record
CUACAAGUGCCUUGGCGUUGAGAAGAGGUGUAAUUGCAGAAGAAAUGAAAAAUUAUAUCAUCAAUUGUAGAUAAUUUGAAGGAGCACAGCUGCCAUGUGAUUUCCUAUUGUCCAGUGCUGUCCAAAGCUCCAUGAGGUCAGCGAGCAUGUCCUUGAGUUGAAGAGCCAGAACAGAGCCAAGCUGGUACAAACAGAGCCAAGGUGGUACAAUCACCAGAGCACUGUUUGGGAGCCUCCAGCUUUGAUAUGUGACUGACUGGUCUGGUGUUACUUCCCCCCCUCCUCCCAUUUUGGGGGCACACUUCCCAAAACCUCUCAAAAUUGGGGGAUUCUUCCUCAGUUUUAUAAGGAAUUCAGAAUUUAAGGAUAAGAAGCUUUCAGAAUUGCUACUUUAGAAAGUUCUUUUGACUCGCUGAACUGUUAUGUUCUUAUGGUUUUGGUUUUUGGGGGUUUUUUUUGCUGUCAUUUGAGCUUAACAAGAGAAAAAGCUGCAGGACUCAAUGACUUAAUUGAAUUAUAUUCUAUUAGGAUAAAGAGGUAGCUACCACAAAUAUGUGCCUACUAGAUAAGAAUCAGGAGUUUGUUUUUUAAAGAAAUACUCUUUUAGAUCAUCCUGCCAACCUUUAAAACUGUGCAAACAUCCAGUGUAGCAUGUGUGCAUGAAACAUCCUUAAUGGAGUAAUAAUCUCUAGUUAAUAAUUAAAUCUGAGUGCUUUUGUAAUUUGUGGAUGCUACAGCAUUUAAUCUCUUUAAGUGAGACUUCUUAAAGAGGAGUAUUCAGCAUUUGAAUUUCAUGAAGGGAAUCUUAGCCUUAUGUAAAGACCAAUUUAAUAUACCAGAGGUUUAACUUGUUGUCAGUGUGAAGAAGGAUUGAUAUCUCAGACUAAACUUGAUGCUGGAUUUGCAGGCACGGGUAGAAUUUUUGGGCUGUUGACUGACAAACUCUUGCUCAGAGAUACAUUGGUGAGAGUCACAAGUGCUGAAGUGUAUCAGUUUUCAGCUAAUGCAGCACUUGUCACACUAAUGUAUGCAUCAAAUUAAUGGAAAUGUAGUUAUACAAUGUUGAUGUGCUAAAGUAAAUAGCAGGCCUCCAUUAUAAAAGUUGAUGAACUUGUAAAUUAGUCUGUGGGAACGGGAUACCUCCCCUCCUCUGCAGCCUUUUUAAAGUUUAUCCUUUAAUCAUUUUGCCUUCUCUGUAAAGAAAAAUCACUGAAUCCUGUCCCAAUGUCCAUAUCCCAGGUCUGAUAACUAAUGAAAAAAUUUGAAAAAUGUUUUAAAAGCUAAAUGGAGUGCUGUCAUCUAGUUCUUUCAUAUAUGCAGUCAGGUGCUGCAGACUGAUGUCUUUCCCAAAUUAUUAUCCCACCUGUUUGAAAUGGAAAGCCUUUAUAAAGAGGAUUGUGCAGACUGAUACCAUUGAUUUGGGAUGGCCUCUCUGAAACACUGGGGUUUGAUUUUUCAAAUAGGCUGUUAGUGGGAGGUCCACGUCCUGUUUCAGAGGCAGAGCCAACAUUGCAGUGCUUGGCUUUUUCUGUAUUGUUCUGUCAGAAACAACCAACCAACCAAAACCACCAAAAAACAACCAACCAAAACAAAACAGAACCCUCAAUAAAAACUCCCAAAGUUAAAGUUUGCAGCCCUUGGCAAGCUGUUGACAAAUUAUCAAAAUGGCAAAGCACUUCUGUGUUUGCCAGCAGUAGCAAUGUAGCCAGUGCUGAUGCAGGGUUCUUUUAGAGCUCGUGUGCACUGUCAGCACUUUAAGAAAAACCAGCUCAAGGCCUCUCCCCUUUUCAAUCUUUGGCAAGUCCACAUCUACUGACAGAAACAGAGAUGUGUGAAAGUUCAGGAUAUCACAGUCCAGCAGUUCAUUGCACUGCUGGUUACUUUGCUGUUUGAGCAAGUAACUUUUCCCCAGUUGCACAGCAAAAUUUGAAGCAUUUCUCUGAAAAUCUGCAACCAACUGCACAUCCAGUCCUUUCAAUAAGGGAAAGGGAAAAAAAAAAUCAGUAAAUUUGGCCCUUAUAUGGAUGGAAGGAAAAGGAAGGGAGAAUUAUUAGGCAGAACAAAUAAAAUUAGUAAAAGGUAAAGAAGAGAAAAUUAUAUAGUUCUGUGUCUUUAAAUGUGCUUUUUACUAGGUAUUAAUUUCUUUGAUCGUAGCUCCCUGAGGAUGAGACAGACCAGUAAAAGGCUAAAGGGCAAAUUAAGAUACUUAAAAAAAGAACACUGAUUAUUUUCAAUUAUUCUGUACCUGUUAGGAGGCUUUUAUAUUUUAACAUUUUAGAUUGUUUCUUGAAUGUGUUAAGCACUCAAGGAAUCAAGGUAUUAAUUUAAAGAUAAGGAAUUAUUAACUGAUUUUUCUAUGAUCUGUACCUUAAGACUCCCCAGAGAUUAUAGAUUUCCAUGUCUAAAGAAGUGUAUGCAGAAUUUUAGGAAAUAAAAAAAUCCAUUUCUAAGAGUUGAGAAUGCUGUGGGAAAUUAAAAUGUUAAGUGGAAGAUUUACUAUGGAAAAGGUAUUCUUUUGCUUUAGAAGGACGGUUGUAGCAGGUCUUGUAGGUGUAGUAGGUAGGUAAGCAGCCCUCUGAAGUAAAACUUCGUGAGAUUAAGGAAAAAACUCAUUUAUGUUCAGUGCUAAACAUUGUGUUCUGCUGUUCCUAAGCAGUGUUUUCUGCCAUAAUCUUUAUAAACAUAGAAGUGCUUUUCUCUCCUCUGACAUGGUAUUUCAUGCCAAGAUCUUUUUAAUAGAAACCAGUAGGGGAUUAUUUUAAUUAAUUGUAAAUUGGCAGCCAAGCUUCAUUAACGUUUUUGUUAAAGAUUGUCUUAUUACUUUGGUUUCAAGAUACUGAGUGUUCAGAUAUUAGCUUAGGAAGUUAGUUUUCUUUUCCAUGAUAGCGUUAAUCUUAUGUGUGAAUUCCCAGAAGAGUUUGGAACUGAAAUUAGUUGUAAAGAGAAGUAAAAAUACUGCAGAGAGUUUUACAGGACCAUGGAUUCCUUUAUUAACACUGAAUUCUUUUACCAGCUUGACUUACGAUUUUCAGCAUUGUGUACUUAUAACUACAGAGCAGUUUCUGGCAUUAGCAGCCUAAACAAAGCACAGUUCCAGGGUGUUUGACCUCUUGAUGCACUUGUCAAAACCUUCCUGGUGUAACUGGGAGUGAAACAUGCAGCAGCAGGCCAACUUCCACUUUGUGUGGUGAGAGUUUGGAAGCAGAUGUGGGCUGGUAUCACGUAGGGUUUGUGACAUCCAAGCAGAUCUCACGUGGAGUUUGCUGGCUUAGCCUCAUGGCCAGACUGUGACUGGUCCAUCCAAAAUGUGUGCAGUAGCUUGGAAACGUGCAGACUGGUGGAGUGCAUGCAUCCUUUCUGGAAUAUGGGCUUGGGUGUUAUCUAACCCCCUCCUCCAAGUCUGGGGGGUGGGGAAGGAAUCUUCUGUGCACAGCAACACAGCAAAGGCUUUCCUAUGGGAGAGCAGGAAGAAAGGAGUGUUGCCUUGAGUGCAGCCGUGGUGUGGCAAUGUCAGUCACCAACAUGGUUCAGUUACUUUGGAGGUUCAAAAAAAGCUCACAGUCACAUAGCCAGUGCAUUUCAAAACAUUGAAUUAACACUUACUGCACAUGAGGAAUUGCUGUUGGAGAGUGGCCCUAGGAGUGCAAAGGCAGCACUAAAUAAGACUAUGUAAUGUGCAAAAGUAACAGAGUAGCUUAAAUUCAGUGUGCUCUCAGUAUUCAGGAGCUCUCAGCAUGGACAGUCGAGGUAUUUAUAGCUGCCCUUGGGUCCUGGGGAGUUAAAUAGUUCAGGUUUGCGUGAGGGGUUCCCACUGACCCUUCAGAUUAAAUCUGGUGACGUUUAAUAUUACAAGCAAGUGCUAAUUAUACUGCUUACAGCUCUUUGGGCAAGCAGGAAGUGGUUUCCCAUCCUCAGCAUGCCCUAGCACAUAGAGAACAUUCCAUCCUCCCAGAUUUAAGUUCCUAGGUGGCCUUCCCCUGGAUGAAAUAUGUUUUCUUUACCUUGUCUUUGUAAGGUGUCAUGAUUAUCAGUGUAAAGAGGUAGCUCACAGCUGCCUGGGCCCCACCCCAUCUCCUCACUGAGGGGAGGGAAGAAAGGGCAGCAGUUGGCAUUUUUUAAAUGUCUCAAGGCUCAUGGUGUGGAGUACCAGGGCAGUACCUGCAGCAGGAUCUGUGCCCUGGGCUGCCCCAUGGUGUGGUCUGCCCUUGGCCUCUCUGUACUGCCCAGCAGUGGAGACCUGCCAGCCUUCUCUACUGGGCAGGGGUGGAAAGCAGGAGGGGGCUGUCACCCAUCUUCCCAUUCCUCCAUGAGUGGAGUGCCUGACACCACUCUCUCUGCUUUGCUCUGUGCUUUCACUAAUAAAUUUCUUCCACUGACGAUGGGAGGAACUCUGUAUUUUGAGGAGUACUGGGGCAGACCUGGUUAGUUUAUAACUGGUUUAGGAUCGCUGAGGGGAACGGGAGUUGCUCUUCAUCUGCAGUCAUUCCUUGUGCCAGGGCUCUCUCCCAUCAAUCCCAGGAGAACCAUGUGUCUGCAGUGCUGUAGCUCCCUGCUCCUGGUGUGUGCCCCCACGUUGGCAGGGGCUCAGAGUGGCCUGUGGUGAGACCUUUCUAAAGCAGCUUUUAGGCUGUUUGUGCAGAGCUGGUGGGAGGCUUGGUCUAAAACCUGCUGUGGCCCCGUAGCUCUCCGAGCUCAACCUUGUCCUUGUUUUGCAACAGGCUGUCUCCUGAUCAUAUGCAGCCUUCCCAGGCUUUAAGGGCUACUCUGCUAUGGGGCUUGCUGAGCUCUUUCUUACAUUAAUUAAUGUAGCUUUACCUUUGGCAGCAGCAAAGGGAGCUGCCAGAGGUCUUACAUAGCGUUUAAAAUGUCAGCUGCUGGUCUAGAGCAGCUGCCAGCACUGGAGCUCUGGCAGCGGGAAUGCUGUCACAGGACAAAUGCAGGGAAUGUCAGUGUGGACACAGCGUGAGUCAGGCAGGGCAGGGACUUGUGUACAGAGUAUCCUGACGUUGGUAAAAUGCCCUUUGAAAUCUCCCAGCAAGUUGGCUCCUGUCUUGCUUGGGUCAUAUUUAAGGAAAUGCUGCUGGCUUCUGACUGUUGGUGGUUUGUAUUCAGACCUGACUGUAAGUAGUUGUCAGUGUGUGGGGUCUGCACAGAUAAAGCAAUCCUGUAGGACUGGGAGUCUCUCUUCUGGGUGAAAGAGUAAGGCAAAGCACUGGUGGUGAGAGUCUUGAGAAAGAAUGUAGUUUCUAAAAUCAGUAAUUUUGGUCACAUGUAUAUCUCACUUUUAAUUUUUUUUUUACUGGAUUUUUUCUUUUAAAUGUUUGGAACUUAUCUGUUGAUUGAACUGAAUUAAUAUGGGAAAAAUAAUAAAAAAACUGUAACUACUGUCCUUGUUUGUCAUCAUUGCCUUUGUGACGUGUCUGGAGAGCAGUUGUGUUUCCUCAAUAUUUUUACUAGAAGGCUUGGCUGAAGACAUUUGUGCUAAUUUGAAUCUUCUAUUUGCUGUCAGUGUGGGAAGUAAAUUUCUUUUUAUACUGUUACUUUUUUGCAAUGGGUUGUGCUGUUAUAAAUUAGAUGAAAAGCCAUUUGCCUCUCACCUGUGAUUUAAACCAGGCUUGUGAAUUGGGCCUGUUGGAUGUAAGCAGGUCUACCAGAGGUGUCCACAUGGGUAGAGAUGAAUUCGAGAUCAUUUCAACUGAAUCCAAAUCCUUUCAUGAGACUUUAACUCUUCAGCAGGGGGUUCUUUUACAUGCUGGUGUUAAAGAAGGGUUCAUUGGGGUUUUUUGUUUGGCUGGUUAGUAAUGUGGGCUGCAUCCAUGGAAUGCAGGGGGGUGUGAAUCAGAAGGGUCUCACUGCCAGGCUCAUAGAUGUAAUGAUAGGCUGGGUACUGCAAUACUCACCACAGUGUUUUACAUAUAGAUUUAAUCUGUGCCCUUCCUUGUGCUGGAAAUGUGUGCCUUUCAUGCCCUGUGCCUUUGCAUAUACGCUGGGUCUGUGUUCCUUGUGGUAACAAAGGAUUUACAUUAAGCAGCCCAAGACAAUUUUAAAUACUAACAGGCAUAUAGAGCUGUGCUUUUAAUACCACCAGUAAUGGAAAUACUUACUGAAAACCAAAUUUUAGACUUGUUGAUGGGAAUGCUGUAGAGUCAGCCAAAAAUAUCCAGAAACUUUUUGAUGUUCUAGGUUUGCUUCCACAUACAAGAAAACUUGCAUAUACAAUAAAGCCCCCAUCCUGCUCUGCAUCCCAGAUCUGGGUUAUAUGGUAGGUUUCUUUUUUUAAGUCUAGGAGGGUUUCUGAAAUGGGGAAAGUGAAAGGCCCAGAUCAUCAGGGGGUUAUUGUCAAUACUGCCCAAGGAGUUAUAAAUGAAGAUCAUCAACUUGGUCAUAUUUGUCUUUUAGAUUUUUUUGUCUGUUCUGACCUCUGAAUUUGAGGAAAAAUAAAAGCCUGACUAUAUCAUACUCUUCUAAAUGCAAAUUUUUUUGCUAAUACCUUGAUCAUUCUUUAGUCUGUUCUACCUUAUGGCUACCCCUUCAGAGACAGGCUGAAAUUAUAGUGGCCUGUCUUUUGUUAAUCUGCUUUUUGUAUUCCCAUGUAAUUUAUUUUCAUGUCUUUGAAUUUAUUCAGGAUGGCACUAAUGUGAUAUAUGUGUUUCAGGCAUGAAGAGGUUAAUGAAGCUUUAACUGUCUCAUAAUACCAGUCAUGUUCUUGGCAGCCUUGGGGAUGGGAGUUAUUGCCUGCAGUCAUGUACAAGAACUAUUAUCCUCUUUGAUUGCCAUAUUUCUGUACAGCCAAACUAGAUUUAACAGGAUCUUUAGGGGGAUCCUUUUAUAUGUUCCUCAGCAGAAAUAGCAAUUUUAUAGUGCCUCUUCUGAAAAUUGAAAGGGCAGCUUUUAGUAAACAGGUAAUGAGACCAAGAAUUCCUAUGUAAAAUUAGUAAAAAUUACGUUCAUGAAAAGGUGUUUUGAAGAUGUUUUUGUGAUUUAAUUUUUGGAAAUAAAUCCAUGGUAUAAGACACAAUUCUCAGAGCCUCACUACUAGUUUGAUUCUGGCCCUACUUAAACCAUAGCUUUACCUUAGGAUGAAGUAACUAGCUAUGUUUUUUUCUUUGUAGUUGAGGAAGGGGAAAUACUGAAUAUAGUAAGAAUUAAAGUGGACAUGCAAUUUUUUUAAAAGCUCCAAUGGAAGUGAUUAUUUAUGGAAAUUUCAGAGUAAUUACUGGCUACUAGUGCUGCGCUGGCUAUUUAAAAUCCAUCAUGUGACUGAGAAUGAUGCCACUCAGUGCACUUGGAUUGCUUAAUGACUUUUUUCUGGGCAAUGUUGUGUUGUAAAACAGUAAUUAGGUAAGAUGUUGUUUCAACUACAGAGUUAGUUUGGUACUAAUAUGCAGUAUGAAGAAAUCAUGUUAAAACCGUAAUACCUGGGGGGCAUUCACAGGCAGGACUAAAGAGCCAGAUACAAAGUAAAAAAGCAAGGCACUUUCUUCUCAGUACUCACUUCAUCUCUAUAAAAAGUCUGGAGGUCUUGUUGAAGUACUCAAGCUGCUUUACUUUUCACUGUCUGAAGACCUCGUUAUUCAGAUAAUAAGAUAAUGGUUUUUUUAAGCAGUGAUAUUUGUUGUGUAUGGCAUUGACAAUUGUGGACAUUAUCAAGGAAAAUAUCUCUUAAAACCUUAGUUUAGAGGCUGCUGUCUCCACUUUAAUAUAUAUUCUAGGUUAUUGGAAGAACUGAACUGGGACACAUGGACAGCAGCGUGUGAGAGCUUCAAAAAGGAUGUUUUGUGUCACUUGGACUUGGAGAAGUGCUGAAUUUGAGACAGAUCCAUGGAAGGAUGUACUGUGCCCCCUUCACCUGGUCACUCCUUGGCAGUGUGGAAAAAAAUGAGUUCUGACUGAAAUGUUUGUAUGGCCCAGAUCUGUUUGUUAGAAAACACUGUGGAAAACCUAGAGGCACCAAAAGGGGGCCUUCAAUACAGAAACUAACUGCAAACCUCUGGAAACACUGAAGCUCAAAACAAUGAAAAUCUCUGCAGUUAUGGCAAAGCAGAGUAUCAAAGGACAGCAAAGUCACCCUGACAGGAUGAAGUCAGACAUCUGGCACUGACUGGGUGUCCCCUGCAAGGCUGUGCUCCGUUCCAGUCGUUCUCCCGUGUAACUGGCUGUAAAAAGGACAUGAUGUUUUUUUCCAUCACGCACCUUGUCUCCUGGCAUUGAAUGCUAUAGCUGAGAUGUGCAGCUGGAAGAGGAAUUCGCUUAUUGCCAAAGGAAACUCCAAAGCAGAAAAGGGCUGAGCUAGGUGAUUCAUAGGGGACUUGUUUUGGUUUUGCUUGUCUUCCCCAAAGGGCUGCCAGCAUCAUGUGAGGGUACAGGGCUGUACCUUGUGCUAUACCCUGUCCUGGGGGCCAUCGGGCAAAGCAUCACCAGAUGGCUGAGGGAGGGGAUUGUCCCACUCUGCUCUGCAGUGGUGAGACCUCACCUUGAACAU